Molecule: ribosomal RNA, 514 nt
Filed under: Armigeres subalbatus
Lineage: Eukaryota; Metazoa; Arthropoda; Insecta; Diptera; Culicidae
Description: eukaryotic LSU rRNA
Rfam family: Eukaryotic large subunit ribosomal RNA
Source: RNAcentral
GGGGAGGUAACUCCUUCUAAGCUAAAUAUCACCACGAGACCGAUAGCGAACAAGUACCGUGAGGGAAAGUUGAAAAGCACUCUGAAUAGAGAGUCAAAAAGUACGUGAAACUGCCUAGGGCUCAAGCCCGUUGAACUCGAUUAUCCGAGCGGAGACAUUCACCUGCGGGGCUGGCCUUCCCAUCCAAAAAAGCGAGGGCCGGCGCCGCAGGGCACUUGUCUCUCCCGCGCACGAGGACACUGCGAUCCAUUACGAAACAGCUUUCGCGUUCCACUGGGACGCGCAGGUCGCCCGACAGUUGCCCCCUGGUGCUUCCCCCGGUUGCUUGCCCCACAGUAGCGACGCUCAGUUCCGAAGGCCUGUGCCGCGAGGUGGGGCUUACUGCACGUGGUGUGCAGUCGGGCGCGUGAUGGAUUCCCACGAGUACGACGCGGUGCCUUUACACCGGCACCGCGGACCGUCGAUCGGCAGUGAAAGAAUCGAGGUACCUCCGGGACCCGUCUUGAAACACGAA